RNAcentral lists this ribosomal RNA (468 nucleotides) under uncultured bacterium. Its description in RNAcentral is "partial 16S ribosomal RNA". It matches the Rfam family "Bacterial small subunit ribosomal RNA", at positions 28 to 507 of the family's 1533-position model. The record is from RNAcentral.
GACGAACGCUGGCGGCGUGCUUAACACAUGCAAGUCGAGCGGAAAGGCCCUGCUUUUGUGGGGUGCUCGAGUGGCGAACGGGUGAGUAACACGUGAGUAACCUGCCCUUGACUUUGGGUUAACUUCAGGAAACUGGGGCUAAUACCGGAUAGGAGCUCCUGCUGCAUGGUGGGGGUUGGAAAGUUUCGGCGGUUGGGGAUGGACUCGCGGCUUAUCAGCUUGUUGGUGGGGUAGUGGCUUACCAAGGCUUUGACGGGUAGCCGGCCUGAGAGGGUGACCGGCCACAUUGGGACUGAGAUACGGCCCAGACUCCUACGGGAGGCAGCAGUGGGGAAUAUUGCACAAUGGGCGGAAGCCUGAUGCAGCAACGCCGCGUGCGGGAUGACGGCCUUCGGGUUGUAAACCGCUUUCGCCUGUGACGAAGCGUGAGUGACGGUAAUGGGUAAAGAAGCACCGGCUAACUACGUG